Molecule: long non-coding RNA, 369 nt
Organism: Condylostylus longicornis
Lineage: Eukaryota; Metazoa; Arthropoda; Insecta; Diptera; Dolichopodidae
Exons: 2
Source: RefSeq, a predicted model, not a curated record
CGAAAACUAAAUUCAGUAGUAGACCCGAAACCUCCUUAACAAGUUAAUCUUGAAAGAACAAUUCAACUACAAAAAAAAAAAAUCAACAAUGUUGUUCGUCAAACAAGCAGUUACAAUCUUCCUUGUUGUACUAGUUGCUGCACAGAUGGCAUACGGCUGCCCCAACAAUAAUCUUAACAAUGGCAAACGCAAGUAAAUCAAAAGCGAACGAUAUCAUCAUCCUCUAUAAGAAGCUUUAAAAAAUAUACCAUAAUAAGAUAUUUGUAUUUCAUAUUAGAUUCUUAUAAUUUGUAAUAAAAAUAAGUUGAAGUUUGGUCACUAUCUAUAAACUUAAUAAAUAAAUAAUUUUAUUUUUAAUAUUUCAAAGAA